AGACAGAGAGUUGUCUUUCUUCUCUGCAGGGACUCACUAAACCUGAUAACCUUGGCCCAAACCUAGACAAUUGUUGCCAUAGAAACCAGCACGUGUGCACAGCAGGAGUUUGUUCCUCAAAGCGUUUAGCCCAUGCCAACAGAGCGAGGCUCCAGAGGUGAGAGAACUGGUCUUUAUUCCUGAGAAGAGGUCCUGGCACCAGGCAGAGUUGAAUCAGCUCGAUGUGUGAAGCCCUAGGAGCCCCAUCCCAGAGGGGAGACUUGGCCAACACAUCCGACCAUGAGAGCAUUCACAUCUCUAAAAUGGUCAACGUGCAACUGAAAAAAUAAAUCCACACGUCACCACCUCAGAUCAGGUGACAAUCUACAAGACAUAAUUUUCCAAACAAAGGAAGUGGCCUGGGCUUUUUUACACCACGUAGUGCCUUGCUCUGAAGCAUUUUCUCUAGUCUCCUUUUUCUGGGAAAUGUCUGUACAGCUCUGGGAACCCAGCUCUGUUCUUGGCUCUCUGGCUUCCGUCUUCUUCCCGGGGAUCCAGGAGCCCAUCAGAGUUCCUCAUUUAUAAGUGGUGCACAUACUCAUUCAGUGACCCUGGCUUUGAGAAAACUUCAGCUUCCCAGUUCUCUGAAGAGAGAGGCCAAGAAUGGUUGAGAGGAAAGUUUUCUGGGCCACUCACUCCAGAACCUCCUGCAGGACCUGGGAGAACAGCCGUGGAGCCAUCUGUGCAAAGGAGCCUGAUGACUCAGAAGGGUGAGACUAUGAAGAAAGAGGGAACGUCAAGUGGCCCCAUGCCAUUCCAGCCUUUCCCAGAUUAGGCGCCAGGUGUGAAGCCACCUUUGAUUCUCUGGCACAAGAGAUCCACCGAGCUGAUGCUACGCAGAGGAAGGACAAACCAUCCAUGUUGAGCCUUAACCAAGUUGCAAAAUCAUGGGCAAAUAAAUGACUGUUGUUCUAAGUCACUAA
Suricata suricatta (meerkat) is the source of this 962-nucleotide long non-coding RNA. RefSeq lists it as uncharacterized. Lineage: Eukaryota; Metazoa; Chordata; Mammalia; Carnivora; Herpestidae. The record is from RefSeq and is a predicted model, not a curated record. The transcript has 3 exons.